GUUGAUGUAGCUCAGUUGGUAGAGUGCUUGCCUGGUGUGUAUGAAGCCCUGGGUUUGAUUCCCAUCCUUCAUA
RNAcentral lists this transfer RNA (73 nucleotides) under Neotoma lepida (desert woodrat). It matches the Rfam family "tRNA". From Rfam's summary of the family: Transfer RNA (tRNA) molecules are approximately 80 nucleotides in length. Their secondary structure includes four short double-helical elements and three loops (D, anti-codon, and T loops). The record is from Rfam by way of RNAcentral. Lineage: Eukaryota; Metazoa; Chordata; Mammalia; Rodentia; Cricetidae.